RNAcentral lists this long non-coding RNA (5850 nucleotides) under Equus caballus (horse). RNAcentral's name for it is "lncRNA (ENSECAG00000042368.2)". The record is from RNAcentral. Lineage: Eukaryota; Metazoa; Chordata; Mammalia; Perissodactyla; Equidae.
GUUUUCUGCCAGUCAUAGGUGUCUCUGCUGGGCUCUCCCAUGCUCUGCCAGGAAAGCUGGGGGCUGGCUCUCUCACAUCACUGGAGCCUUGGCUGGGACAGUUCAUCCCUGCUCCAUGGGGUCUCUCAUUAUCCAGGAGGCUAGCCUGGGCUUCUUCACACAGCCAUCUCAGGGUCCAAAGAACAGCAAGAGAAGGAGAUUUCGGGCAAUACUGCAUUCACUACAGACAAGUCUGCUUCUGGAGAGACAUGCUACUGAUAGCAAAGAAGGAAGAACAGAAAAGAAAACCAAAAGAGUGCCUGACAAAAAAGUGGGUCAUAGGAAUGCUCAAAAUGGAAGGAAUCCAGUUACAACCCGGAAGGUCUUUCUUCCCCUCCCAAUCACUCUCACCUGUGACCUACAAGUGACCUACAAGUGACUACAAGUGGAAGGGAGGGGCUCUUGUCCAACAUGAAAGUCCACUGAAAUCCAAACGGGCACCCCUGCUCCAGGGAAGGUUUGAGCAAGGAUAGCUCUGAUUAACUUGGUGCUUCUCUAUUGGGAAGUUCUAGAAAGGACCAGGUUGAUGAAACUUCCUCUACUGGAUCUUUUCCAAAUGACUUUCAUCAUUUGUUAGAAGUGAAUUCUAGCUGAAACCUAGUCUUAUUGAAAAGUAAGUUUAAAUGUGUACAUCAAAGACAAAAGGGGCAAGAACAAGGCAGGGAUGGGCCAUUCCCUCUAUAGUGAAGAUAAGGGAGCAACCGUUUCUUGCGCACUCUCAUUGUCAAGAGUGGCGGCAAUAAUAACAACAACAAUAAUAAUAAUGCAUAAAGCAAGUGUUCCAUUAAUAUUUUCUUUCAAAAAAAUUGAAAUGCUUCAUAGAAAUCUCCACGAGCUGGAGUUCACCUCUCACGGAUGGACAAUAACAUGAGCAAACUCUUGUAGCUGGCCUUGGCUACACUGUGUGGGAGGUAAACAACUGCUCUCUUUCAUCCCAGGUAGAGAGGUUCAGACACUUCUGGGCCAAACAGAGUAGAAGAGUCUGUAUGCUGUGUUUUGUUUUGUUUUGUUUCAGUUAGUAAAUAUAACUACCAUUAGCCAUAAGUACAUGUUAUUCACAUAUUAAAAAUUUUUUUUAAUUUUUUUCUUUAUUCUAUAGGGAAUAAAAAGCCGUUCAAGUUUCUGAUAAAGCAAAUGACAUUCUCCAACUUGUGCGCAGGAAGAUAACUCUGGUGGCUGUGUGAAGGAUGAACGGGCUGAUGGAGACACUGAAGGUGAGGCAGAUAAGGAGCUUCUUACAAAAGAUGGUGCCAAGCCAAACUAGGAUAAACACAGAAAGGGGAGGAGGUGAGAGAUAAAAGAAAUAUGGCAAAGAAUAAAAAUCACUAGCAGUUAGCUACUGAUCAAGGUGAGAGAGAGCGAGGCAGAGAAAUGAAGCCUGGAGGAGAAAGACAUGCAUGGAAAAGUUGCAGAGCAAGAAUAAAUUCUGUGAUGGUGUUACAGAUGCUCAUGAACCCUGCCCAGGUGCCCCAGCGAAGGGUGAACACCCACUAGGACCUGCUCAAAAGGCGGGGCUGAUACCUGCCUCAAACCAAAAGGGGAGAAGUGAGCCCACUGGCAUACCAACAUACGAAAAAGCACACAUUUGGAGUUAGUUGCCUGGGUUUGAGUACCUGCUUACCCUCCCUUCUCCCCACAAGCCUCAAGCAGCCCAGGGCAGGCUACUAACCCUACUGAAGCCAAAGCUUCCUGAUCUGAAAAUGAAGACAAUAUGCCCUGUAGCGCUGUUAGGAAAAUAAACAGUCGCAUGCAAGAUGGCACCUACUGCAGGCCUGGCAUAUAUCAGGGGCUGAACAAUUAGUAAGAGUUCUCAUCAGCCACACAAAUGUUCCUAUGCGGGGCUCAGAAAGAAUGCAUGACUUUCCCAAGGUGAUGCAGCAUAUUAGUAACAAAACCAGAACUCAGUGUCAGUUUGUCUGAAUUAUCUUCCCUGUAAGCUCUAUUUCCCAAAAAGCAAGAACAUGCGCCGCUUUCUCCUGCACAGCUUCACGUUCUCCGUGUCCUUAGCAUACUUUGUUUUCAGAUCCUGGUCAACAAACAAGGCAAAACACUAAAGACGACUUUCAUUCCCAAUAUGAAAACACUUUUCUGUUGAUACAGCGUCUUUUAUCAUUUUCCUUAGCCCACGUAACAACUUUUUUUGAAAUUCUGAAUGACACAAUUUACUGCAUUGUUUUUGUCAUCUAUUGUUACAAAAGGGCCCCAGAAUUUACUGGCUCAAAGGGACAAUUUGUUAUUUCCAUCAGUUCUGUACCUUGUCUGGGCUCAGAUGGAGGGUUCUCCUGCUCCACGUGGUACUGGCUGGGUCACUUUUGCGGCUACAUUCAUCUGAGAGCUCAAUCAGAAAGUGGAAAGCCCAAAAUGCCUUCACUCAUACAGCUGCUGCCGGAAUAGCCAGGGGCUGGCUGGGUCUCUCUCUCUCUUCACAUUCUUGGCUGUCUGGCCCAAGCUUCUUUACAAAGCAGCUGGGUCCCAAGGGGUGAAGCAGAAGUUUUCGGAGAGCUUCAGGCCAGGGCUCAAAGUCCAGAAGGUCACCUCCACAGCAUUACAUUGGUCAAAGCAAAUCCCAAGGCCAGGCCAGGUGCAAGGGGAGGGAAACAGACUCCACCUCUUGACAUACACACACUCCCACCAGGAAAGGGAGGAAUUGUCAGGAGGAAGUGUUGGUGGCCAUCUUUGAAAGCAUUUACCAAAACCAUUAUUUGUUGGGGCCAGCCCAGCAGCAUAGUGGUUAAGUUCAUGUGCUCUGCUUUUGUGGCCCUGGUUCACUGGUUCCAAUCACAGGUGCAGACCUAUGCCCUGCUCAUCAAGUCAUUCUGUGGCAGGCAUCCCACAUAUAAAGUAGACGAAGAUGGGCACAGAUGUUAUCUCAGGGCCACUCUCCCUCAGCAAAAAGAGGAGGAUUGGCGGCAGAUGUUAGCUCAGGGCCACUCUUCCUCAAAAAUAAAAAAGAAAGAAACAUUAUUUGUAAAAUCUGGGCUUCAGAGGCAAUAGUAAACUAUUUUGUUACAACUUUUUAGAAAGUAUCUCAUCCAUUGAUAAACUAAACUUGUUUUUUCUAAAUGUCUUUUACCCUUGAUUUCCCAGGAAGCAUAUAUUUGAGGAUCGUAGCAGGGUGGGUGUGGCCUUCAAAAAGAUGUCCAAAUCCCCAGAACCUGUGAACGACCUUAUUUGGAAAAAGUCUUUGCAGAUGUCAUUAAAUUAACAAUUUUGAGACAAGCUCAUUCUGGAUGUCCCAGGUGGGCCCUAAAUCCAACGACAAGUGUUCUUGGAAGAGACACAAGAGGAGAAAACACACAGCAGAGGAGGAGACGUGAAGACAGAGACAGAGAUCAGAGUGGCGUGGUCACAAGCCAAGGAAGCCAGGAACGUCCACAGCCAGCAGCAGCGGAAGCGGCAAAGGAUGCUCCCCCAGCCUCCAGAGGCAGUAUGGCCCUACACACGCAUUCAUUUCAGGCUUCUGCCCUCUAGAACCUGAGAGAAUAAAUUUUUCAUUUUAAGCCACCCCGUUUUCAGUAAUUUUUUACAGCAGCCACAGGAAACUAAAUACAAGGAUCGUCCCUCUUUAUACUUAAGACUAAACGUUUCACUCCCAUUUUAGGAUGGUGGUUUUUAGGGCAAUGGCUGUGACUCUUGGCUCCUGCUGUCCCCACCCACUCAGCAGAGACACGGAGGAAGGCCCCUUACCUGAAAACUCAGCCUUGUCCACGUCUUCAGCCACUCCUGACAGAAACACGUAGAACGCCAGAAGCCUCUGUUUCACCAGAUCCUUCUAGAAACAGUCUUGCUACUCAAAGUUCCCAGAGCCACAGCCCCUCCCUUCGCCCAUUUCCCGCAUCCACAGGAUGGGCCCAGGCUUCGGAUCACGGAGCUGAAGUUGCAGCGCCACGACCUAUGACCUUCGGUAACUUACAUAAAUUCUCAGAGCUGCAGUUUCGUUCUCGGUAAAAUCUGAAGAUAUUACCUUCCUCGUAGAGCUAUUUAAAGAACUAAAUAGGGGCCCGGGCUAUUACUGCGGAAGUUGUGGCAGGCUGGGAUGCUCCUCAAAAUCGCGGAGGGCGCCUGGGGCUACGAGCCAGGACUUACUCCUCGGCAAGGCAGUACUUCGCACAGGCGCCCUGUGAGAAGCUGGACUGCCCCUCUCGCCCACACAGGUGCCAGGUGAGCGGCUGGCAGGCUCCUCUCAUCCACGCAGGCACCCUGUGAGAGGUUCCGUGGCCCCUCUCGCCCACGCAGGCGCGCUGUAAGCGUCUCUGAGUCUCCUCUCUCCCACGCAGGCGCCCUGUGAGCCGCUCAGCGUCGUCUCUCAUUCACGCAGGCGCCCUCUGAGCUGCUCAGCUGCCCGUCUCACUCACGCAGGCGCAAACCCAGGUGGUCUACGUUGGCAGAGUUUCCUCGGCCGUCCGCACCGCAACUCCUGGAGCCCCGAGGCUGCCAGGCCCUUCACGUGCGAUCUCAGGCGUUGGUGAUGAUGGGCAGGGCCACCCUGCAGCGCACGUCUGACCCUGGCCGUGGUGAGGCCACGCCCGACGCCAACUACACAGUGUUCGACUUUGAUGCCUUCUGCCAGGCGCGCUACAGAAGCAGCCAGAGCAAGGAUGGUGCCGGAGAGCCCAGGGGUGCAGAUGUUUCUUUCUCUAACGACUUUUGGAGUCUUGAGCUUAUGUGGUUUCAGCUAUGUUCCAGGAAGAAGCUCUAAGCAACAACUGACCUGGAUCCAACCACUCUGAACAGGACCACACUGUCCCAGACCACAGCCACAAGACUGACACCUGCACAGACAGGCAGAGUUGUACUAAAAUAACCUGCCCUCCUUAAUGUUUGGAAUUCUCCUCCUCUGGGAGGGGCAAAGCAGCCACUUUUAGAUCCUGUGAUGUGUGUAAAAGCAUGAUUUCAAACCACGUGUCCAAGCUUAUGCCCACUUCUACAUGUGAUGAUGAAACUUCCCCUUUGAAUAGUCAUUCCCUCUCCCAAAUAAAGGUACCCACGUCCCAGUGCUGGGGGAGCCAUUGCUUUGUGAAAUUAUUCUCUAUGGUCUCCAUUUUCUUUGCUGCAUGCCACAAAUAAAAUGUCUGCUUUGUGUGACAACUACUUCUGGUGUAGUUUAACUCCCAAGAAGGGGACUCAUGUUUGGUCUGGUAACAAUUCUUCCUUGGUCAGAGUCAGACCCCAUUCCCACUUCUGUUGGUGGCAUGUGGGAGUGAGAGAGCAUGGUCAUUGAGUAAGGAAUGAAUGUUCCUGUGCCCAUACUUAUCUAAUGUAUGACCUUGGAGAAGGUACUCUGUGGGCAUGACAGCAGAGGAGCAAAUCAUUUGCACUCUUGAGGUCUGUCACACUUUAUUAUCCAUAGUGCUAAUGGGCUGAGUGAUUAAAACAUUAUGCUAGUAGGGCCAGAUUCAUCCUUAGCACAGUGUGCCUACCAUCCGAUCAUCCCUUUACCAGCCAGCCCCAUUGCUAACUGUGUAGACCAUCCCCUCUCAGAAAUAGAGCAACAGACUGGGAGUUUGAGUCAUUUGAGUGUGGCCCAUCCUCCUAUUUAGGUUGCAGUGCUUUUGUAGGAUCCAGAAGCCAAGCCUUUGAAACACCGCUGCUUGAGGCUGUGGGGAGUUUGGGGAGUUUGGAGUAGAUGGGACUACUGAAGGACAGGAGGCACAUAGUGGAAACUCCGUAGCUUAUUCAGAGCUCGCUGAGGCUUUUCUUUUCUUUAUUUUUGUGGUAGGCAGUUGGUCAUCGCUUGCUAGAGCUGUAGUAGUCAGCUCUCUCAACCCUGAGUCACUGCACAUGGGGAGUGGCUUUGUUGUGAGAUUGUAG